This 72-nucleotide transfer RNA is filed under the name Camelus bactrianus (Bactrian camel). It matches the Rfam family "tRNA". Rfam says of the family: Transfer RNA (tRNA) molecules are approximately 80 nucleotides in length. Their secondary structure includes four short double-helical elements and three loops (D, anti-codon, and T loops). Lineage: Eukaryota; Metazoa; Chordata; Mammalia; Artiodactyla; Camelidae. RNAcentral also lists the same sequence under 1 other name. The record is from Rfam by way of RNAcentral.
GAGGGGAUAGCUCAGUGGUAGAGUGCCUGUCUAGUAUGCACAAGGUACUGAGUUAAAUUCCCAGUACUUCCA